AAAAAUGCUGUGAUAAGAAUUAGUAGUAUAGACUAAACUUACAGAGAGAAACCCUCUAGGCUGAAAGGGGUUUUGAGUGUAAUCUAUGUGAAUGCAUCUUUGAGCACUGUCUCGAAAAUAAGUAGACGGCAGCGGGUACGCUCGUUAAAGCGUUAAGGUAUGUUUGUACCUGAAUUGAUGAGAGUCAUGAAUUUGUUUAUAUUCGUGAUAAUUAGAGUGGGACCGUAGAAUAUAACUUCUACCUCUAUG
Molecule: non-coding RNA, 249 nt
Filed under: Clostridium sp.
Lineage: Bacteria; Bacillati; Bacillota; Clostridia; Eubacteriales; Clostridiaceae
Description: T-box sequence
Rfam family: T-box leader
About the family: Uncharged tRNA acts as the effector for transcription antitermination of genes in the T-box leader family. T-boxes are found upstream of many aminoacyl-tRNA synthetase genes and some amino acid biosynthetic genes usually in Gram-positive bacteria. The anticodon of a specific tRNA base pairs to a specifier sequence within the T-box motif, and the NCCA acceptor tail of the tRNA base pairs to a conserved bulge in the T-box antiterminator hairpin.
Source: RNAcentral